Molecule: ribosomal RNA, 253 nt
Filed under: uncultured bacterium
Lineage: Bacteria
Description: partial 16S ribosomal RNA
Rfam family: Bacterial small subunit ribosomal RNA
Source: RNAcentral
UACGUAGGGGGCAAGCGUUAUCCGGAUUUACUGGGUGUAAAGGGAGCGUAGACGGCGAUGCAAGCCAGAUGUGAAAGCCCGGGGCUCAACCCCGGGACUGCAUUUGGAACUGUAUAGCUAGAGUGUCGGAGAGGCAGGCGGAAUUCCUAGUGUAGCGGUGAAAUGCGUAGAUAUUAGGAGGAACACCAGUGGCGAAGGCGGCCUGCUGGACGAUGACUGACGUUGAGGCUUGAAAGCGUGGGGAGCAAACAGG